This is a long non-coding RNA of Centruroides sculpturatus (bark scorpion), 265 nucleotides long. RefSeq lists it as uncharacterized. The record is from RefSeq and is a predicted model, not a curated record. Lineage: Eukaryota; Metazoa; Arthropoda; Arachnida; Scorpiones; Buthidae. The transcript is spliced from 2 exons.
CGGCUUUCGGAGAAAACCGUCGAAGUUAAAAGAGUCUGGCUCGAUGUCGUCUGGUCUUUGGCAAUACUAAAAGAGGUGUCGUCUGAACACUUGGCUUCUGUACUGAAACCCUCCUUUUACCAAACAGAAAUUGGAAAUGAUAGUUAUCAGAACAAUAUUUUUCGACUGAAGUUAUUAAACGUCAGAUCCGUUGCAGUCAUUGAACAUCCUCUGGAUCCUAAAUUAAUAACAAUAGAGAAACCAGUAUUCAAAUUCACUCAGGUAA